CGGGACGGGUGAGUAACGCGUGGGUAACCUGCCUUGUACUGGGGGACAACAGUUAGAAAUGACUGCUAAUACCGCAUAAGCGCACAGUAUCGCAUGAUACAGUGUGAAAAACUCCGGUGGUACAAGAUGGACCCGCGUCUGAUUAGCUAGUUGGUAAGGUAACGGCUUACCAAGGCGACGAUCAGUAGCCGACCUGAGAGGGUGACCGGCCACAUUGGGACUGAGACACGGCUCAA
RNAcentral lists this ribosomal RNA (236 nucleotides) under uncultured bacterium. Its description in RNAcentral is "partial 16S ribosomal RNA". It matches the Rfam family "Bacterial small subunit ribosomal RNA", at positions 100 to 334 of the family's 1533-position model. The record is from RNAcentral.